Molecule: long non-coding RNA, 407 nt
Organism: Pyrus x bretschneideri (Chinese white pear)
Lineage: Eukaryota; Viridiplantae; Streptophyta; Magnoliopsida; Rosales; Rosaceae
Exons: 2
Source: RefSeq, a predicted model, not a curated record
UCUCUUCUCCCCGAGCACUCACCCUAUCCUCUGUCUCACGUACUCACUCUAUCUCUUUCACCCUCUCUCCCUAUCUCGCCGAUCAAACUCGCACCCACGCACACCCAAUCGAACCCCCUAACGGUGAUGCAACACCACCACCACCACCAUUGUAGACCUUCUCUCCCUUUCUCUCCAUCUCCGUGAAGUUCUGGGACACCCAUAAGGCACCCAACCCAGGUUCAACGAACCCGUGGGUUUCAAACAGGAUUCCAGCCACCUCCGGCCAUUCCAUGGCGGAUCUCAGGACUUAUAUUUGAGGUGUACAAUCCCGACAUCAAGGAGUGUUAUUUAGAUCUAUAUAUUACAUAAUGAUUUGUUCCUUUUAUGUCCAAACUGUAUAAAAAACUAAGAUUUGUUCAUUUAUA